GUCAGCAAAGAUGGAGAACCACUGAUGUAGUCAGUGAGAAGUAAUAGGGGCUAUUUUUCAGAACAGCGUUUUGAGUUAAUUUGAAAGGAGGGAAAAUCUCAGGGCGAAGGUUAUUGUGGUGAGGUUAUAAGGUGAGGUCAAAGGUUAGCAAGGAGGUCUGGGUGGGCAUGGGGUCAGUUACACAGUAUGCUCUUAAAUGAUAGCGGGUAAAGUGAGCUGAACUUAAUCUGAAAAAAAAGCAAAAAAAGGAGUUCUGGCAUCCUAAGGUGGUGUUCAGCAAAGGGCAGUGUCAGGACAGUACCUCAGCUGAAGACCUUCAGGUCCAUGGAAGACAGUGCAUGGAUUAUUCUGAAGAAUGACUUUCCGACAAUCUGCCCCCAGCUGUGUGUUGCAAUGCACGUGGCGGAGCUGCGCUUCCAAAGAGGCUGGCUCAGUGGGGCUGCGGUGAUGUCUCCUUCCAGGUCCCAGCAUGGAUGACCCUGUUCUUCUUGGAGAAGAAGAGAGGAAAAAUUUUUAGUGACAACACAGGAACACACAAAAAAGAAGUGCUGGAGGAUGUCCUCUGUGGCUGUAGAGGCUCCACACCGUGUUGGGGUGAGGGCUGAGAUGCCGGGAGGAGGCCCAGGAGUCAGGUCAUCACUGGCUGGGCAGGUGGACUAGAGAUAUUGCUGCUCUUUCCUGGAUCAUCUUGGAGAGGUUCCAUCGAGACUCCCUGGGCUCACUUGGAACUCAUUACCAAAUGUCUAUGCCUCCACGCCUGUCCCCUCAGCCCGCACAGACACAGCCAGCAGCCCAGAACUGCCAGCUGGCUCACCACCGAAAUGAGGGUGAGCACCGGUAAGGAAAGAAAGCCAUCCAAGGCGUCACUUCCCUGCCCUCCUCAGAGAGGACAGCCGGGCCAUUCUCGUGAUUAAACCGACUAACCACCCCCGCCGGCUCUGUGAUGGCUUCUCCUGACCAUGGUGGUUGCUGAUUAAAGAGAAGCUGGAUUUUCUUAGAAGAAACUUAAAACUAUAUAGAGAAAGAGAGAUGGGGUGAGGGCCUCAACUGCAAUGUUCUUGGUGGGAACCACAGUUUCCUCAACCCAUCUUCACUCUCAUGACACCCAGCGCCCCAGACGCCCAGGAGACAGCCCAGAGGACACAUGCUAUUGCCCAGUAAGUGCACGUGUCUUGGGGGCACAGCGCUCUAGCCCUGCUCUCACCCAGCUUGUAUGGAUUCCUCCUGAGUGUCAGGCACCAUGCUGGGCCCUGAGGGCAAAAGCGAGCUGUGUCAGGCUGCAUCUCCCACUGGGAGGCUGGCCAGCACGCUGGGAGCGUAUCAGGGAGGGUUUCAGGCAAUCCUCCCAGGUUCUUCCAUGCUGCAAAGCCACCUGUGUGUCUUGCUUUAUAGACUGCAGAACUGCAGCUCGGCCUCAAAGGCUACCGUGUGUCCCUCGGGCUUGGGAGCAAUGACCUGUGUGCUGGCAGCUCUCCCAGCAGGAAUAGGAAGGCUGUACUUCAAAUACGGUUUCCUGUAAAAAAAAUAAUAAUAAUAAUAAUUGAAAUCAGGCAUUACCCUGGUGUUUACCAUCUGUGUGCCUGCCUUUUGUGGCCUGGACUCUUGGCUCUCACUGGAGUUGCUGCUGAAAAGCUGAUGACUCAGCAUAGCAGUGGCUCAGGAUUUCUGUGUGGGGGGUGGCAUUGUGGUCAAGGGUAGGGCUCCUGUUUAUUGGGCACACUGGUUAUUUGGGGGAUGCUGAUGGAGACUGUGGGAGGGUUCAACCCUCUCCCACCACCCCCACCUUGGCAGCUCCCCAAACGGAGCCUUUGUUCCAGGAGCAAAGGCAGCCCUGGGGGUCAGGAGAGCUGCAGCCUGGUUCCGGGUCUAAUUAGCUGCGGGACUUUGCACGACCCCAGAAUUUUUCGAAGCCUUGGGAUUCCCAUCUGUAAAGAGAUUGGGUUUGGACCACGUCGUCUCUAAAAUCCCUCCCAGUGAUUCUAGGCCUUGGAGGAAGGAAACUGUAUUGGAGAUACGGUCCCCAACCCUGAAAAAGCUAAUGAUGGUGAAAAUAUAGCUCCAAAGAAAAAUCGCAUGAAACAACAAAUGGCGAAAGUAACGAGUUCCUGCUUUUUGUCCACUAACAUCUAUCACCACUACUUCUGGCAACAGCCCCUAAUUUCCAUUUGGGAAGCUCAUGAGGUUCUGCUUGCAGGGGUGGAGGCCACAACCUAAAAUAUAUCCUGAGUCUGGCCACUUCUCACCAGCUCUACCGCUACACUUUUCCCAGCCACUACUGUCUGUCCCUGCUUCCCCCCACCCCGCCCUCUCCACACAGCAGCAAGGGGAUCUUUUCAUUGCUACCUAUUUAAUAUGUGUGGGGUUUUUUUUGAUUGAGACAUAAUUGACAU
This is a long non-coding RNA of Equus caballus (horse), 2390 nucleotides long. NCBI's taxonomy places the organism in Eukaryota, Metazoa, Chordata, Mammalia, Perissodactyla, Equidae. The record is from Ensembl.